This 429-nucleotide ribosomal RNA is filed under the name Chloroflexota bacterium. RNAcentral's name for it is "Chloroflexi bacterium partial 16S ribosomal RNA". It matches the Rfam family "Bacterial small subunit ribosomal RNA", at positions 355 to 776 of the family's 1533-position model. The record is from RNAcentral. Lineage: Bacteria; Bacillati; Chloroflexota.
UGGGGAAUAUUGCACAAUGGGCGCAAGCCUGAUGCAGCCAUGCCGCGUGUAUGAAGAAGGCCUUCGGGUUGUAAAGUACUUUCAGUCGGGAGGAAGGUGGUAAGGUUAAUAACCUUAUCAAUUGACGUUACCGACAGAAGAAGCACCGGCUAACUCCGUGCCAGCAGCCGCGGUAAUACGGAGGGUGCAAGCGUUAAUCGGAAUUACUGGGCGUAAAGCGCACGCAGGCGGUUGAUUGAGUCAGAUGUGAAAUCCCCGGGCGUAACCCGGGAAUUGCAUCUGAUACUGGUCAGCUAGAGUCUUGUAGAGGGGGGUAGAAUUCCAUGUGUAGCGGUGAAAUGCGUAGAGAUGUGGAGGAAUACCGGUGGCGAAGGCGGCCCCCUGGACAUAGACUGACGCUCAGGUGCGAAAGCGUGGGGAGCAAACGGG